UAGAGUUUGAUCAUGGCUCAGGAUGAACGCUAGCGACAGGCUUAACACAUGCAAGUCGAGGGGCAGCGAGGCGGUGCUUGCACCGCUGUCGGCGACCGGCGCACUGGUGAGUAACACGUAUGCGACCUGCCCCCUACAGGGGAAUAACCCGUAGAAAUGCGGCCUAAUUCCCCAUAGUCCCAAAGGCUGCAUGGCCUUUGGGGGAAAGGUUCACUCCGGUAGGGGAUGGGCAUGCGGCGCAUUAGCUAGUUGGCGGGGUAACGGCCCACCAAGGCGACGAUGCGUAGGGGUUCUGAGAGGAAGGUCCCCCACACUGGUACUGAGACACGGACCAGACUCCUACGGGAGGCAGCAGUGAGGAAUAUUGGUCAAUGGGCGAGAGCCUGAACCAGCCAAGUCGCGUGAGGGAAGACGGUCCUACGGAUUGUAAACCUCUUUUGUCGGGGAGUAAUAGGCGGGACGUGUCCUGCUGUGAGAGUACCCGAAGAAAAAGCAUCGGCUAACUCCGUGCCAGCAGCCGCGGUAAUACGGAGGAUGCGAGCGUUAUCCGGAUUUAUUGGGUUUAAAGGGUGCGCAGGCGGCGUGCCAAGUCAGCGGUCAAAGUUCCGGGCUCAACCCGGUGAUGCCGUUGAAACUGGUGUGCUUGAGUGCGUGCGAGGGAGGCGGAAUGCGUUGUGUAGCGGUGAAAUGCAUAGAUAUGACGCAGAACUCCGAUUGCGAAAGGCAGCUUUCCAGCACGCCACUGACGCUGAGGCACGAAAGCGUGGGGAUCGAACAGGAUUAGAUACCCUGGUAGUCCACGCAGUAAACGAUGACUACUAUCUUUUCGGUCCGAUUGAGGAUUGUGAGGAACAGCGAAAGCGUUUAAGUAGUCCACCUGGGGAGUACCGCCGGGCAACGGUGAAACUCAAGGGAAUUUGACGGGG
Molecule: ribosomal RNA, 926 nt
Filed under: uncultured Porphyromonadaceae bacterium
Lineage: Bacteria; Pseudomonadati; Bacteroidota; Bacteroidia; Bacteroidales; Porphyromonadaceae
Description: bacterial SSU rRNA
Rfam family: Bacterial small subunit ribosomal RNA
Source: RNAcentral